RNAcentral lists this ribosomal RNA (696 nucleotides) under uncultured bacterium. RNAcentral's name for it is "bacterial SSU rRNA". It matches the Rfam family "Bacterial small subunit ribosomal RNA", at positions 64 to 746 of the family's 1533-position model. The record is from RNAcentral.
GAGGGGCAGCGGUGGUGAAGGCUUGCCUUUACCAGCCGGCGACCGGCGCACGGGUGAGUAACACGUAUGCAACCUGCCUGCCACAGCCGGAUAAUCGGGAGAAAUUCCGUCUAAUACGGCAUAAUGCAUCGACGGGACAUCCUGUUGGUGCCAAAGGUUGAUUCCGGUGGCGGAUGGGCAUGCGUCGCAUUAGUUAGUUGGCGGUGUAACGGACCACCAAGACGACGAUGCGUAGGGGUUCUGAGAGGAAGGUCCCCCACACUGGUACUGAGACACGGACCAGACUCCUACGGGAGGCAGCAGUGAGGAAUAUUGGUCAAUGGGCGGGAGCCUGAACCAGCCAAGUCGCGUGAGGGAUGACGGCCCUAUGGGUUGUAAACCUCUUUUGCCGGGGAGCAAAGUGCCGCACGUGUGCGGUUUGGAGAGUACCCGGAGAAAAAGCAUCGGCUAACUCCGUGCCAGCAGCCGCGGUAAUACGGAGGAUGCGAGCGUUAUCCGGAUUUAUUGGGUUUAAAGGGUGCGUAGGCGGACGCUUAAGUCAGCGGUAAAAUUGCGGGGCUCAACCUCGUCGAGCCGUUGAAACUGGGUGCCUUGAGUGGGCGAGAAGUACGCGGAAUGCGUGGUGUAGCGGUGAAAUGCAUAGAUAUCACGGAGAACUCCGAUUGCGAAGGCAGCGUACCGGCGCCCAACUGACGC